GAUCCUGUGAAGAGACCAGCAUGGUCAAAGGCAGAGACAUGCUGACCAUUCGGAGAGAGAGAAGGAGAGAGAAAGCAACUUCACAGUCUCACAGAGACAGAGAGAAUGUGGCUACGCAAAUCUAUAAGAAACUUGGGAAGCAUUAUCAACUUAAGGGGCUGAAUAGGAUUACAGGUCGAAGUCCCCACCUGCUUCAAGAAGACCACCACGAUCCCUGUACCUAAGAAAGCACAUUUGAAAGCUAAGAAAGCAUAAGUGUGCCUUAAUGACUAUUGCCCAGUGGCUCUGACCUCAGUAAUCAUGAAGUGCUUUGAGGGGUUCUUCAUGGCCCAUGUCAAUUCCAGUCUCCCAGCCUGCCUCGAUCCCCUACAAUUUGCCUACUGAUGUAAAAGGUCCACAGAGGAUGCCAUAUCCCUAGUCCUGCACUCAUCCCUGAAACAUUGGACAUCAAAGACACCUACGUCGGACUCCUGCUCAUUGAUUACAGCUACACCUACAACACCAUUAUCCAUGACCUUGGUUUUGGCACCUCCCUCUGCAACUGGAUCCUCAGCUUUUUGCCUCAUAGGCUGCAAUCAGUGAAGAUAGGUAAUUACCCCUUCUCCAAAAUAACACGCAACAUUAGCGCUCACCAAGGAUGUAUUCUCAGCCCCUACUGUACUGUACUCCCUUUACAGCUACGACUGUGUGGCCAAAUUCCAAAUGAAGGCCAUCUACAAGUUUGAUGACAACACCACUGUAGCGGAAUGGAUAUCUAACAACGAUGAGUCAAACUACAGAAGGGAGAUAGAGGGCUUGGUGACGUCGUGCAAUGAAAACAAUGUCUCUCAACGUCCGGCAGAACUAAAGAACUGAUCAUUGACUUCAGAAAGAAAGGAGAACACGCCCCCAUCUACAUCAAUGGAGCUGAGUUUGAGAGAUUGAACAGCAUCAAGUUCCUGCCCCGAUGACCUGUCCCAGACUUCCCACGUAGAUGCAACAGUCAAGAAAGCACAACAACGCCUCUUCUUCCUCAGGCAGCUCAGGAAAUUUGCCGUGUCCAUAAGGUCACUCACUAACUUCUACAGAUGCACCAUUGAAAGCACACUGUCUGGGUACAUAAUGCCCUGGUAUGGCAACUGCUCUGCCCAGGACUGUAAGAAACUACAGAAGGUUGUGUGCACAGCCCAGUCCACCACAGAAGCCAACAUCCCAUCCAUGGACUGUAUUUAUAUGGCUCACUGCUGCAGAAAGGCUGCCAACAUCCUCAAAGACCCAUCGUCCCUGAUAAUGACCUCCUACAGCCUCUUCCUUCAGGCAGAAGAUACAGAAGCCUGAACACACACAUGAACAGCUUCAGGAACAGCUUCUUCCUGGCCGUUAUUAGACUAAUGAAUGGAUGCUCUAGCCUCAAAUAAUGCUGAUCUUGCUAACAUUGAUCUUGCCUAGCACACUCCCUGUGCAAUGUAACCUGCAUGUCUCUAAGUCUUUUUGAUCUGUACAUCCUUUGCUUACUAUGACCUGCCUAUAUUACUCGUAAACAAACCUUCUCACUGUAUUUCAGCACACAUGACAAUCAAUCAAUCUUCAUGUGUUUCAAGAAGGAUUCGGCUGAUUCCUGGGAUGAAGGUUUUUUAUUGCUCAGUUGAGCAGAUUGAGCCUGUAAUUUAUGGGAAUUUAGAAGACUGAGAUGUGAUCUUAUUGAAACACAUAAGAUUCUGAGGCGGACAGGCUUGAUGCUGGGAAGAUGUUUCCUUUUGGAGGAAACCAAACUAGCGAAAACAGAUUCAAAAGGGUUUAUCUCCCAUUUAAUACAGGGAUGAGGAGAAUUUCUUCUCUCAGAGUGUUGCUGGUGUUUGGAAUGCUCCUCCAGAAAGUAGAAUCACAACAUUAUUACUGUACAAAAGGAGGCCAUCCAGCCCAUCAUGCCUGCACUAGCUUUAUUAUCCAGUGCCAUUUUCCUGCCUUUCCCUCAUAUCCCUGCACACCAUUACUAUCCAAAUAACCGUCCGAUUCCCUCUUGAAUACCUGAAUUGAAUCUACCGCCACCGCAUUUCCAGGCAGUGCAUUCCAAACCCUAACAACUUGCUGUGUGAGAAGCACUUAAGGCUGGCCUUCAUUGAAUAUAUUUGAGGCUGAGUUAGACAGAAUUUUGAUCGACAAUCAGGUUGCCAACUCUGAGUGAAGAUUUCUUGGAGAUUUGCUUUUGAGCAUUAUGACACAUUGUUACUUGUUAGUUCAACCAUGCGCAAUAAAGUCAUCACUUUUUUUUUAACUGAG
Rhincodon typus (whale shark) is the source of this 2259-nucleotide long non-coding RNA. RefSeq lists it as uncharacterized. The transcript has 2 exons. NCBI's taxonomy places the organism in Eukaryota, Metazoa, Chordata, Chondrichthyes, Orectolobiformes, Rhincodontidae. The record is from RefSeq and is a predicted model, not a curated record.